Molecule: ribosomal RNA, 492 nt
Filed under: uncultured bacterium
Lineage: Bacteria
Description: partial 16S ribosomal RNA
Rfam family: Bacterial small subunit ribosomal RNA
Source: RNAcentral
AGUGAACGCUGGCGGUAGGCCUAACACAUGCCAGUCGAACGGCAGCACAGUAAGAGCUUGCUCUUACGGGUGGCGAGUGGCGGACGGGUGAGGAAUACAUCGGAAUCUACUUUUUCGUGGGGGAUAACGCAGGGAAACUUACGCUAAUACCGCAUACGACCUACGGGUGAAAGCAGGGGAUCUUCGGACCUUGCGCGAUUGAAUGAGCCGAUGUCGGAUUAGCUAGUUGGCGGGGUAAAGGCCCACCAAGGCGACGAUCCGUAGCUGGUCUGAGAGGAUGAUCAGCCACACUGGAACUGAGACACGGUCCAGACUCCUACGGGAGGCAGCAGUGGGGAAUAUUGGACAAUGGGCGCAAGCCUGAUCCAGCCAUACCGCGUGAGUGAAGAAGGCCUUCGGGUUGUAAAGCCCUUUUGUUGGGAAAGAAAAGCAGCAGGUUAAUACCCCGCUGUUCUGACGGUACCCAAAGAAUAAGCACCGGCUAACUUCGUG